GACGAACGCUGGCGGCGUGCUUAACACAUGCAAGUCGAACGGAAAGGCCCUGCUUUUGUGGGGUGCUCGAGUGGCGAACGGGUGAGUAACACGUGAGUAACCUGCCCUUGACUUUGGGAUAACUUCAGGAAACUGGGGCUAAUACCGGAUAGGAGCUCCUGCUGCAUGGUGGGGGUUGGAAAGUUUCGGCGGUUGGGGAUGGACUCGCGGCUUAUCAGCUUGUUGGUGGGGUAGUGGCUUACCAAGGCUUUGACGGGUAGCCGGCCUGAGAGGGUGACCGGCCACAUUGGGACUGAGAUACGGCCCAGACUCCUACGGGAGGCAGCAGUGGGGAAUAUUGCACAAUGGGCGGAGGCCUGAUGCAGCAACGCCGCGUGCGGGAUGACGGCCUUCGGGUUGUAAACCGCUUUCGCCUGUGACGAGGCGUGAGUGACGGUAAUGGGUAAAGAAGCACCGGCUAACUACGUG
RNAcentral lists this ribosomal RNA (468 nucleotides) under uncultured bacterium. Its description in RNAcentral is "partial 16S ribosomal RNA". It matches the Rfam family "Bacterial small subunit ribosomal RNA", at positions 28 to 507 of the family's 1533-position model. The record is from RNAcentral.